GAUGAACGCUGGCGGCGUGCCUAAUACAUGCAAGUCGAGCGAACGGACGAGAAGCUUGCUUCUCUGAUGUUAGCGGCGGACGGGUGAGUAACACGUGGAUAACCUACCUAUAAGACUGGGAUAACUUCGGGAAACCGGAGCUAAUACCGGAUGAUAUUUUGAACCGCAUGGUUCAAAAGUGAAAGACGGUCUUGCUGUCACUUAUAGAUGGAUCCGCGCUGCAUUAGCUAGUUGGUAAGGUAACGGCUUACCAAGGCAACGAUGCAUAGCCGACCUGAGAGGGUGAUAGGCCACACUGGAACUGAGACACGGUCCAGACUCCUACGGGAGGCAGCAGUAGGGAAUCUUCCGCAGUGGGCGAAAGCCUGACGGAGCAACGCCGCGUGAGUGAUGAAGGUCUUCGGAUCGUAAAACUCUGUUAUUAGGGAAGAACAUAUGUGUAAGUAACUGUGCACAUCUUGACGGUACCUAAUCAGAAAGCCACGGCUAACUACGUG
RNAcentral lists this ribosomal RNA (497 nucleotides) under uncultured bacterium. RNAcentral's name for it is "partial 16S ribosomal RNA". It matches the Rfam family "Bacterial small subunit ribosomal RNA", at positions 28 to 507 of the family's 1533-position model. The record is from RNAcentral.